This 564-nucleotide ribosomal RNA is filed under the name Actinomadura sp. 418H03. RNAcentral describes it as "bacterial SSU rRNA". It matches the Rfam family "Bacterial small subunit ribosomal RNA", at positions 93 to 671 of the family's 1533-position model. Lineage: Bacteria; Bacillati; Actinomycetota; Actinomycetes; Streptosporangiales; Thermomonosporaceae. The record is from RNAcentral.
GAGCGGCGAACGGGUGAGUAACACGUGAGUAACCUGCCCUUGGCUCUGGGAUAAGCCCGGGAAACUGGGUCUAAUACCGGAUAUGACCCUCCACCGCAUGGUGUGAGGGUGGAAAGUUUUUCGGCUGAGGAUGGACUCGCGGUCUAUCAGCUUGUUGGUGGGGUGAUGGCCUACCAAGGCGACGACGGAUAGCCGGCCUGAGAGGGUGACCGGCCACACUGGGACUGAGACACGGCCCAGACUCCUACGGGAGGCAGCAGUGGGGAAUAUUGCGCAAUGGGCGAAAGCCUGACGCAGCGACGCCGCGUGGGGGAUGAAGGCCUUCGGGUUGUAAACCUCUUUCACCACCGACGAAGCUAACGUGACGGUAGGUGGGGAAGAAGCGCCGGCUAACUACGUGCCAGCAGCCGCGGUAAUACGUAGGGCGCAAGCGUUGUCCGGAAUUAUUGGGCGUAAAGAGCUCGUAGGUGGUUUGUCGCGUCUGCCGUGAAAACCCGAGGCUUAACCUCGGGCUGGCGGUGGAUACGGGCAGACUAGAGGUAGGUAGGGGAGAACGGAAUUCCC